RNAcentral lists this transfer RNA (67 nucleotides) under Peptococcaceae bacterium. RNAcentral's name for it is "tRNA-Val". It matches the Rfam family "tRNA". From Rfam's summary of the family: Transfer RNA (tRNA) molecules are approximately 80 nucleotides in length. Their secondary structure includes four short double-helical elements and three loops (D, anti-codon, and T loops). Lineage: Bacteria; Bacillati; Bacillota; Clostridia; Eubacteriales; Peptococcaceae. The record is from RNAcentral.
UUAGCUCAGCUGGGAGAGCGUCUGCCUUACAAGCAGAAUGUCGGCGGUUCGAUCCCGUCAAUGCCCA